RNAcentral lists this small nuclear RNA (22 nucleotides) under Arabidopsis thaliana (thale cress). RNAcentral's name for it is "snRNA_15426". The record is from RNAcentral. Lineage: Eukaryota; Viridiplantae; Streptophyta; Magnoliopsida; Brassicales; Brassicaceae.
GAAAUCUUCGAAAUGAGGAGUU